UGUGAUUCAAUGCUGUUAAAUGUGCCAUGAACCUGAGCCACAGUAGCGAGACGGUCAUGAAUCAAAUCACGAUGAGGACAACAUGAUGUCUGGAAAACCUAGUUAUUUAACUUAAAGCCGUGGAAAUGUCUGUGCGCGGCAGGUUUGUUGUUGAACUGGACGUUUCCUUUUCAGACAAGCUCAGACGUAACGGUCUGUUCACGAGCAGGAUGAUAAUGUCCCAAGAACAUUUUGAAUUGAUCUUAUCGUCACCCAUUGGUCCCACUGAAUCCUGCAGACACCCUGAAGCUGCCGCUGUAACCAGAGACGAGACAACAAGCCAGGAUUCAUGUCACCGUGGUCAACACAGCAAAGAGGUCCCUGAUUCCCGGAGAGAAGACCGCGGAAUGUGAAGUGAUGAGCAAUAUUUCCUAACACUGACAUCAGUGACCAGCAGAGACUACUGAACAUCCUCCGAGCUGUUGAUUGGCUCCAGAGAUGCUGCAGUAAGGACGGAAGGAACCUGCUAAUUACUUCGCUAUAUCCAUUAAUUC
Molecule: long non-coding RNA, 533 nt
Filed under: Betta splendens (Siamese fighting fish)
Lineage: Eukaryota; Metazoa; Chordata; Actinopteri; Anabantiformes; Osphronemidae
Description: lncRNA (ENSBSLG00000024803.1)
Source: RNAcentral